This 250-nucleotide ribosomal RNA is filed under the name uncultured bacterium. RNAcentral's name for it is "partial 16S ribosomal RNA". It matches the Rfam family "Bacterial small subunit ribosomal RNA", at positions 524 to 774 of the family's 1533-position model. The record is from RNAcentral.
UACGUAGGGAGCGAGCGUUAUCCGGAUUUAUUGGGCGUAAAGGGUGCGUAGGCGGUCUAUUAAGUCUAAAAUUAAAGCCCGAGGCUUAACCUCGGUUCGUUUUAGAAACUGGUAGACUUGAGUGUAGAAAAGGCAAGUGGAAUUUCUAGUGUAGCGGUAAAAUGUGUAGAUAUUAGAAGGAACACCAGUGGCGAAGGCGACUUGCUGGGCUACAACUGACGCUGAAGCACGAAAGCGUGGGGAGCAAAUA